GUAUUGUACGUAAUAUGGAUUAACUCCAAUUGGAUUAAUAAAAAGCUAAAUAGUGUACUAAAAUUUCUCUUGUAUGAAAGAAGAAGGAAAUUUACUUCUUGACCGUUUUAUAGUAUUAGAAAGGAUAUUUAUAACGAAAUAUUUUAGUUCCUUCUAUAUGAUUUUUCUGACAAAGUUCGCAACCACAGAUUGUUUCCCGUGAUCGUUGUGGGCGGCGGUUUGGCGGGCAAGGUGGUGGCUUUGGUUUAUCAUCGCAACAGCAUGGUCUACAAGGAUCCUAUAAAUAAUAUUUUUCUUAUGAAUAUUUCUAUAUUUGUAUUUAAAAAACUGGCGCAAUAAUAAUUAAAUGAAAAUUAAGAUAUGAUUUAAAAGGUACGAAAAAAAGAAAGAAAAAGAAGAGCGGUACUAAACAAAAAAUGAUUCAUUUUAUGGAAAAUACCUUUGAUCAUGUAAAAAUAAUAAAUAUUAAUAAACUCCCCCUUUCUCAUUUUUAAAUUAUUAAAGAUAUAUGCAA
Bombus huntii is the source of this 514-nucleotide long non-coding RNA. RefSeq lists it as uncharacterized. NCBI's taxonomy places the organism in Eukaryota, Metazoa, Arthropoda, Insecta, Hymenoptera, Apidae. The record is from RefSeq and is a predicted model, not a curated record. The transcript is spliced from 2 exons.